RNAcentral lists this ribosomal RNA (405 nucleotides) under uncultured bacterium. RNAcentral describes it as "bacterial SSU rRNA". It matches the Rfam family "Bacterial small subunit ribosomal RNA", at positions 9 to 403 of the family's 1533-position model. The record is from RNAcentral.
GAGUUUGAUCAUGGCUCAGGAUGAACGCUAGCUACAGGCUUAACACAUGCAAGUCGAGGGGCAUCGGGAAGAAAGCUUGCUUUUAACUUAUCUUAGCGGCGGACGGGUGAGUAACGUGUGGGCAACCUGCCUCAUACAGAGGGAUAAUCAUGUGAAAACGUGACUAAUACCUCAUGUCAUUGCCGGAAGGCAUCUUCAGGCAAGAAAAGGAGUAAUCCGGUAUGAGAUGGGCCCCGCAUCUGAUUAGCUAGUUGGUGAGAUAAUAGCCCACCAAGGCAACGAUCAGUAGCCGACCUGAGAGGGUGAUCGGCCACAUUGGGACUGAGACACGGCCCAAACUCCUACGGGAGGCAGCAGUGGGGAAUAUUGCACAAUGGGGAAACCCUGAUGCAGCAACGCCGCGUG